UACGUAGGGGGCUAGCGUUGUCCGGAAUCAUUGGGCGUAAAGAGCGUGUAGGCGGUCCGGUAAGUCCGCUGUGAAAUCUCGAGGCUCAACUUCGAGCUGUCGGUGGAAACUGUCUGGCUAGAGUCCGGAAGAGGAGAAUGGAAUUCCUGGUGUAGCGGUGAAAUGCGCAGAUAUCAGGAAGAACACCCGUGGCGAAGGCGGUUCUCUGGGACGGUACUGACGCUGAGACGCGAAAGCGUGGGGAGCGAACAGG
Molecule: ribosomal RNA, 253 nt
Filed under: uncultured bacterium
Lineage: Bacteria
Description: partial 16S ribosomal RNA
Rfam family: Bacterial small subunit ribosomal RNA
Source: RNAcentral